CCAGCAGCCGCGGUAAUACGUAGGGUGCGAGCGUUAAUCGGAAUUACUGGGCGUAAAGCGUGCGCAGGCGGUUUUGUAAGUCAGAUGUGAAAUCCCCGGGCUCAACCUGGGAACUGCAUUUGAGACUGCAAGACUGGAGUUUGGCAGAGGGGGGUGGAAUUCCACGUGUAGCAGUGAAAUGCGUAGAGAUGUGGAGGAACACCGAUGGCGAAGGCAGCCCCCUGGGCCAAUACUGACGCUCAUGCACGAAAGCGUGGGGAGCAAACAGGAUUAGAUACCCUGGUAGUCCACGCCCUAAACGAUGUCAACUAGGUGUUGGGAGGGUUAAACCUUUUAGUGCCGUAGCUAAC
This 350-nucleotide ribosomal RNA is filed under the name uncultured Candidatus Accumulibacter sp. Its description in RNAcentral is "bacterial SSU rRNA". It matches the Rfam family "Bacterial small subunit ribosomal RNA", at positions 508 to 856 of the family's 1533-position model. The record is from RNAcentral. Lineage: Bacteria; Pseudomonadati; Pseudomonadota; Betaproteobacteria.